This 215-nucleotide unclassified non-coding RNA is filed under the name uncultured Hebeloma. Its description in RNAcentral is "sequence contains ITS2". Lineage: Eukaryota; Fungi; Basidiomycota; Agaricomycetes; Agaricales; Cortinariaceae. The record is from RNAcentral.
AAUUCUCAACCUUUAUCAGCUUUUGCUGAUGAUGGCUUGGAUAUGGGGGUUUAUUUUGCUGGCUUCUUCACAGAUGGUCAGCUCCCCUUAAAUGCAUUAGCCAGUGCCCCGCGUGGACUGUCUAUUGGUGUGAUAAUUAUCUACGCCGUGGACAUCUGCAAUCAUAUGGGUUUGCACUGCUUCCAACCGUCUGUUUAUUCAGACAAUAUAUGACA